This 253-nucleotide ribosomal RNA is filed under the name uncultured bacterium. Its description in RNAcentral is "partial 16S ribosomal RNA". It matches the Rfam family "Bacterial small subunit ribosomal RNA", at positions 524 to 776 of the family's 1533-position model. The record is from RNAcentral.
UACGUAGGCAGCGAGCGUUGUUCGGAAUUACUGGGCGUAAAGAGUGUGUAGGCGGUGCUCCAAGUCUGUCGUGAAAUCUCCCGGCUCAACUGGGAGGGUGCGGCGGAAACUAGAGUGCUCGAGUGUGGGAGAGGUAAGCGGAAUUCCUGGUGUAGCGGUGAAAUGCGUAGAUAUCAGGAGGAACACCUGUGGCGAAAGCGGCGCACUGGACCACUACUGACGCUGAGGCGCGAAAGCUAGGGGAGCAAACAGG